AUGAUUUUAGGUGCUUGCACUUGAAAGAUUUAACAUUGAGACGAGUGGCGAACUGGUGAGUAACACGUGGGUAACCUGCCCUUGAAGUAGGGGAUAACACUUGGAAACAGGUGCUAAUACCGUAUAACAACCAAAACCACCUGGUUUUGGUUUAAAAGACGGCUUCGGCUGUCACUUUAGGAUGGACCCGCGGCGUAUUAGCUUGUUGGUAAGGUAACGGCYUACCAAGGCGAUGAUACGUAGCCGACCUGAGAGGGUAAUCGGCCACAUUGGGACUGAGACACGGCCCAAACUCCUACGGGAGGCAGCAGUAGGGAAUCUUCCACAAUGGACGAAAGUCUGAUGGAGCAACGCCGCGUGAGUGAUGAAGGGUUUCGGCUCGUAAAACUCUGUUGUUGGAGAAGAACAGGUGUCAGAGUAACUGUUGACAUCUUGACGGUAUCCAACCAGAAAGCCACGGCUAACUACGUGCCAGCAGCCGCGGUAAUACGUAGGUGGCAAGCGUUGUCCGGAUUUAUUGGGCGUAAAGCGAGCGCAGGCGGUUUUUUAGGUCUGAUGUGAAAGCCUUCGGCUUAACCGGAGAAGUGCAUCGGAAACCGGGAGACUUGAGUGCAGAAGAGGACAGUGGAACUCCAUGUGUAGCGGUGAAAUGCGUAGAUAUAUGGAAGAACACCAGUGGCGAAGGCGGCUGUCUGGUCUGUAACUGACGCU
Molecule: ribosomal RNA, 711 nt
Filed under: Lentilactobacillus buchneri
Lineage: Bacteria; Bacillati; Bacillota; Bacilli; Lactobacillales; Lactobacillaceae
Description: bacterial SSU rRNA
Rfam family: Bacterial small subunit ribosomal RNA
Source: RNAcentral